Molecule: unclassified non-coding RNA, 299 nt
Organism: Callithrix jacchus (white-tufted-ear marmoset)
Lineage: Eukaryota; Metazoa; Chordata; Mammalia; Primates; Cebidae
Rfam family: Metazoan signal recognition particle RNA
About the family: The signal recognition particle (SRP) is a universally conserved ribonucleoprotein. It is involved in the co-translational targeting of proteins to membranes.
Source: Ensembl
GCCGGGUACAGUGGCGCCUACCUGUAGUCCCAGCUACUGGGGAGGCUGAGGCUGGGAGAUCGCUUGAGCCCAGGAGUUCUGGGCUGUAGUUCGCUAUGCCAAUCAGGUGUCCACACUAAGUUUGGCAUCACGAUGGUGGCCUCCCCAGAGCAGGGGACCACCAGGUUGCCUAGGGAGGGGUGAACCGGCCCAGGUCGGAAAUGGAGCAGGUCAAAACUCCGUGCUGAUCAGUAGUGGGAUCGUGCCUGUGAACAGCCACUGCACUCCAGCUUGGGCAACAUAGCGAGAUCCCGUCUCUA